UUUAAAUUAAUAUGUGGUUCCUUCCAAGUUUUGACAUAGUUCAUCAAUACAAAACAUAAUAUACCAAUAAAAUGAAAAAAUACAAUAUAGUACAUGCAAUAAAAAUGUCCCCAAUACAUGAAAACGAUCACCAAGUUAAUAUUUAUUAAUUUAAUGUCACCCUAAACUCCAUUCUAAUAGCCAACACCCUAAAUAGUAGAUCAAUAUACCAAAAGCCGAUUUAUUCCCUCUACCAGGUAAAAAGUUAGCUUUGUUAGUAGGUAGGUAAUGUAAACCCGACACCUGAUCAAUAAAAAAAAAACGGCCAGUAAAACGCCGAUUUCCACAAGGGUACUUAAAUAAUAGUACCAUAUGCCUUGUACAUGUAUAGAUAAGGACUUUCAAUGAUACUAGGCAAACUGGGGGAACAUACCACCCAUUUAUACCUUCUGAUCAAUUAAUCUAUCUCCUUUGAUAUAUAAAAAAACGGCUAGUAUUACGCCAAUACCUGGAGUAAAAUACAGGUAAUCGAUGGUUAUAAUCACUAUCAAACCAAUUAAUUUCAUAAGGACCCAAACAGGGAAUUCAAAUAUUCAAAAAUAUGUACUGCAUAACGGCAGUCAUCAGUAUUUAUGAUAUGACUUAUAUAGUCUGCAAUUUCAUUCUUUGCCCUAGGUAUCUAUUCAACCUCUUAGAACAAGUGUGCUUCAACAUAUUUAACAUGAAAAUAAAGUUAUGUAACAGAAUUGGAGGGUCCAUAUUAUUAAAAUCUGUAAAGAUAGUUUCGAUUGCAAUUUAUAAAUUUAAAAAAAAGGAAUGAAACCAUUGUCAUUCCCUUCAUGUUUCUCUGGUGUGGAACAGUUGCUAUGUCAACAAACAAGACGAGUUCAUACAUGUAGCCAUGGUUUAAUUCAUAAAAAAAAGUUAAUUUGCACAUAUUUUAAAUUUUAGACUUUUGCAUGUCUAGUUAAGGAAUUGAUCUCAUAUUUCAUACUGUUCUGAACUACUAAACAAUGCUGACAAUAUAAUAUAUAUAUUGUGUUCUUUUAUUUUUAUCGUAAGCAUAUCAAUAUUUUUAUUUCCAAUCAUUUUUAUCAGUGAUUUCAUUACCAUAUAUAUUUUACCAAUUGUUCAUAUGUCAUUGCAUCACAUGAUCAUAAUUUUUGAAAUCAAGUGAUAAAAUGCAGAUUAUAUUCUGCAGCCAGUUUUAAUAUGAAGUGAUAAUUAUAUAUAAAAUGCUGAUAAAAAUUCUCCAGUUUUAAAUAUUUAUUAGAUUAUUUGUUUUAACAGCACCAAAUAAAUCGUUCUUAGGUUUUUGGACUGUUUAACAAUGAUACUGUUGUGAGGAAUUUAUAGAAGUUCAAGUUUAAUAUGUUUUAUUUUAAAGAUUUAAAGAAAAAGUAUAUUUCAGCAUUAUUAAAUAAAAGUAUUUUUUUUACUCAUGAUUUAAUCUUCACAGAACCUGUGAUUUACUGUGAAUUCAAUACUUUUGAUAAUACUUACAAAAACAUGUACUAUUGUUCAUCUACUUUCAACAUUUUUUUUAUCAAUAUCGAAACCUGCUGAAUGAUGUUUUAAGCGAAUUCAGAUUACAGAAAACCAAUUUGAUGUGUGUAUUCAAUGCACAUUAGGUUAUGGAUAAUUAAGGGUCUGGAUUUGGGUAUAAAUUUCUGUUUUCCAUUUAUCUCAAUUCUUUAUCUUAUUGACCCAUUAUUCUCAAUUCUUUAUCUUAUUGACCCAUUAUUCUCAAUUCUUUAUCUUAUUGACCCAUUAUUCUCAAUUCUUUAUCUUAUUGACCCAUUAUUCUCAAUUCUUCAUCUUAUUGACCCAUUAUUCUCAAUUCUUUAUCUUAUUGACCCAUUAUUCUCUAUUCAUCAUUUUGUUGCCCAUAAUUCUCUAUUCGUUCUUUGUUUUUUUUCUUGACCCUUUCCCCUCUAUUCUGUAUUGACCCAUUCUCAAUUCUCUAAACCUAUCCAGACCCUUGUGGUUUAUUGUGCAAUUAUUUUUAUAAAACCUGUUCUGUACCUCUUUGUAUUUUUUAUGGUGCUUUACUGUAGAUUUUUCUAAAUGUGUUUUAACCUAUUGUCGCUUUUUUCCAAAAAAAAUAUUGAACUUUGUUUUCCUUCUUGGUUGAUCUAUGAAAUUUUAUAAUCAAACUUUUUUAAGUUUUGUGUAAAUUUUCAAUUAAGAUAUAUAUACAUUUUAAAAUUCGAUAAAAUUAAAUUUUUAAUAUGGAUAAUUUUAAAAAAUUGCAAAAUAUUCAUUUUUUUGUUACAAUAUCUUUUAUACAUCAUUAGAUAAUCAAUUUACAAGUGUAACUUUAACCCAAAAAAGAUAUAAAGGUUUAAAUAUAAUGAAAUGUAUGUAAAUAUUAUUUUAUUUUUACUGAUAUUUCAGAUGCUGUCGUUGACAUGCAAACAAAUAUUAUACUCAUUUAUCGUUUGGUUGUAGGAUAUGUUGAAUGAGCUGAUUUUAAACAGACUGGUGUAAACUUAUGUUUCAAAACAGGUUAAUUUAUUUUUUCAAGGUCAAGAAAAAAUAUUUUUUAUUAAGGUUUGAUGGGAAAGUACCGAGGGCUUGAUUUAAAUUAGUAACAAACUUCACUUUUACAUUUGACUUUAGAAUUAACAGGUUUUUAAUUAAGAUAGAAACUUUUAUGUUAUUUAUAACAACAAUUUUCAUAAGAAGCUGAAUUUUAGUCGAAAUUUCAUACAGUUGAUUUAUUUUAAGACAAGAAAAAUUCUUCUCAAAAGUAUUAUUGAAAAUUGAAUUUUAGUUGACAUUUUUUAACAGUUAAGUUAUUUUAAGACAACAAUAAUACUUCUCAAAUGUAUUAUUGAAAAAGUUCAUUUUUGUUUUACGUGUAUAAUUUUAUUCCAGUUUUCAUUGUAUGAAUGAUAAGUGCAGAGAGAGUUAUUGUAUUUUCAUAUCAUUGUUAAACAUGUAAUUGACCAGAAGGAUAUUCUGGACAAUGAAUAUAAAAAAAUUAUGAAAAACCAUUCAUAAAAAUAUUUAAAAAUGAAAUUGAUAUUGUGUUGCAUCAUUUUUAAUACCAGAGUUAUUCAGCUUUUGAGGUAUGGGUAUAAGUUGGAUUAAUUUGCCAUUUCAGAUUCUAAUAAUGAAAGGCCCACCCAUGACAAAGAGUAAAAAGAACAGCUUGAAUUAUGAUGAAACAAUAAACCAUGAAAAAAACUAAUAUGAAAGACAACAACCAUAAACAAACAUUACAGGCUACUGUCUAUUAUUUUAGCUAACAGAAAAAUACUGAAUGUUUCAGUUAGCUAAUACUUACAAAGUACACUCAUCCUGUAUAUAUAGAUAUAAGAAUAUGUGGUAUGAGUGCCAAUGAGACAACUCUCCAUCCAAGUCACAAUUAAUAAAAGUAAAUCAUUAUUGAUAAAAGUACGGUCAUCAACACAGAGCCUUGGCUCACACCAAACAGCUAGCUAUAAAGGACCCCAAAAAAUGACUAGUAUAAAUCCAUUGAAACAGGAAAACUAACGGUCUAAUCUAUAUAAAAAAUGAGAAACAAGAAACAUUUAUGAACCACAUCAACAAACGAUAACUACUGAAGAUUCUUGACUUAGGAUAGGUGCAAAUAAUUGCAGCGGGUUCUUGAAAACGUUUAAAUAGGUAUCAACCUUCCCCUUAUCUCAAACAAUAGUGUAACAUCCCAACAUAUAUAGAAAGACAGACUAUGAAAUAUAAAUUAAAAUGGCUAAACUCAAUCAAAAGACAUAUCAACACAAUAACAGUAUAAUAAAAGACUUGCCAUGGCACCAC
This 3762-nucleotide long non-coding RNA is filed under the name Mytilus galloprovincialis (Mediterranean mussel). The record is from RNAcentral. Lineage: Eukaryota; Metazoa; Mollusca; Bivalvia; Mytilida; Mytilidae.